RNAcentral lists this ribosomal RNA (467 nucleotides) under uncultured bacterium. RNAcentral describes it as "partial 16S ribosomal RNA". It matches the Rfam family "Bacterial small subunit ribosomal RNA", at positions 28 to 507 of the family's 1533-position model. The record is from RNAcentral.
GACGAACGCUGGCGGCGUGCUUAACACAUGCCAGUCGAACGGAAAGGCCUCUUUCGGGGGGUACUCGAGUGGCGAACGGGUGAGUAACACGUGAGUAACCUGCCCUUGACUUUGGGAUAACUUCAGGAAACUGGGGCUAAUACCGGAUAGGAGCUCCUGCUGCAUGGUGGGGGUUGGAAAGUUUCGGCGGUUGGGGAUGGACUCGCGGCUUAUCAGCUUGUUGGUGGGGUAGUGGCUUACCAAGGCUUUGACGGGUAGCCGGCCUGAGAGGGUGACCGGCCACAUUGGGACUGAGAUACGGCCCAGACUCCUACGGGAGGCAGCAGUGGGGAAUAUUGCACAAUGGGUGGAAGCCGGAUGCAGCAACGCCGUGUGCGGGAGGACGGCCUUCGGGUUGUAAACCGCUUUCGCUCAUGACGAAGCUUUGUGUGACGGUAGUGGGUAAAGAAGCACCGGCUAACUACGUG